GCAUUGGUGGUCCAGUGGUAGAGUUGUUGCCUUCUAUGUGAGAGACCCAGGUUCGAUUCCUGGCCAGUACA
Loxodonta africana (African savanna elephant) is the source of this 71-nucleotide transfer RNA. It matches the Rfam family "tRNA". Rfam says of the family: Transfer RNA (tRNA) molecules are approximately 80 nucleotides in length. NCBI's taxonomy places the organism in Eukaryota, Metazoa, Chordata, Mammalia, Proboscidea, Elephantidae. The record is from Rfam.